AGUGAACGCUGGCGGUAGGCCUAACACAUGCAAGUCGAACGGCAGCACAGGAGAGCUUGCUCUCUGGGUGGCGAGUGGCGGACGGGUGAGGAAUACAUCGGAAUCUACUCUGUCGUGGGGGAUAACGUAGGGAAACUUACGCUAAUACCGCAUACGACCUACGGGUGAAAGCAGGGGAUCUUCGGACCUUGCGCGAUUGAAUGAGCCGAUGUCGGAUUAGCUAGUUGGCGGGGUAAAGGCCCACCAAGGCGACGAUCCGUAGCUGGUCUGAGGGGAUGAUCAGCCACACUGGAACUGAGACACGGGCCAGACUCCUACGGGAGGCAGCAGUGGGGAAUAUUGGACAAUGGGCGCAAGCCUGAUCCAGCCAUACCGCGUGGGUGAAGAGGGCCUUCGGGUUGUAAAGCCCUUUUGUUGGGAAAAAAAUCCAGCUGGCUAAUACCCGGUUGGGAUGACGGUACCCAAAGAAUAAGCACCGGCUAACUUCGUGCCAGCCGCCGCGGUAA
This 506-nucleotide ribosomal RNA is filed under the name uncultured bacterium. RNAcentral's name for it is "partial 16S ribosomal RNA". It matches the Rfam family "Bacterial small subunit ribosomal RNA", at positions 29 to 523 of the family's 1533-position model. The record is from RNAcentral.